RNAcentral lists this non-coding RNA (979 nucleotides) under Pentapodus setosus (butterfly whiptail). RNAcentral describes it as "12S ribosomal RNA". It matches the Rfam family "Bacterial small subunit ribosomal RNA". Lineage: Eukaryota; Metazoa; Chordata; Actinopteri; Spariformes; Nemipteridae. The record is from RNAcentral.
CAAAAGUUUGGUCCUGACUUUACUGUCAGCUUUAACUAGAUUUAUACAUGCGAGUAUCCGCGGUCCCGUGAGAAUGCCCUAUAUACUCCUUCUUGGAGCUAAGGAGCCGGUAUCAGGCUCACCCAACAAAUUUACGCCCACGACACCUUGCUUAGCCACACCCCCAAGGGAAUUCAGCAGUAAUAAACAUUAAGCCAUGAGUGAAAACUUGACUUAGUUAAAGUAAAGAGAGUCGGUCAAUCUCGUGCCAGCCACCGCGGUUAUACGAGAGACUCGAGUUGACAGUUACCGGCGUAAAGCGUGGUUAAAUGUACUUUUAAACUAAAGCCGAAAGCAUUCAUAGCAGUUAUACGCCCAUGAAAGUAAGAAGCCCGCACACGAAAGUAGCUUUAUGACACAUUGACCCCACGAAAACUGGGGCACAAACUGGGAUUAGAUACCCCACUAUGCCCAGCCUUAAACAAAGACGGUUCCCUACACUAUUCCGUUCGCCUGGUUACUACGAGCUCUUCAGUAUUUAAGCUUAAAAACCAAAGGACUUGGCGGUGCUUCAUAACCCCCUAGAGGAGCCUGUUCUAUAACCGAUAUUCCCCGUUAAACCUCACCCUUUCUUGCUUAAUCCAGCUUAUAUACCGCCGUCGUCAGCUCACCCCGUGAGGGCCUUACCCUAUAAAGUGAGCACAAUUGGUCUACCCCCAGCAAGUCAGGUCGAGGUGUAGCAGAAGAAAGGGGAAGAAAUGGGCUACAUUCUCUACUACAGAGAAUACGGAGAAUCGUCCUGAAACAAGACAUUCGAAGGUGGAUUUAGCAGUAAGGGAGGAGCAGAGUGCCCCCCUGAAGCUGGCUCUGAAGUGUGUACACACCGCCCGUCACUCUCCCCCAGCACCUUCGCCAUAAAAUUACAUAAAAUGUAAGAGCAGCAUAGGGGAGGCAAGUCGUAACAUGGUAAGCGUACCAGAAGGUGCGCUUGGAAAACAAU